AUGCGGGCCGCCGAAGCUGCAUCGCAGUUCUCCCUGUCGUUGCCGACCACCGCGUCGGGGAGCUUCCGCCAUGGCCGUCGUGCUGCAUCGAAGCACCAUCGCCGGCAACGCUGCAUCGGCCAUGGCCGUGGGCGCUGCAUCUCAGCUUUCGCCGUUGUCGCCACGCGCUACGUCACAACACCCGUCACCGCCAAUGGAGCUUCGCCGGGGGGCACCGGUGCUGCAAUGGAGCUUCGUCGAUGGCCGUCGGGGUUGCGUUGGAGCACCGCGUGCCGGUGUUGCAGCUGCAAUGAAGCAGGGUCGGAGCUGCGACGGGCCGCCGGCGCUGCGUUGGAGCACCACGUGCCGGUGUUGGCGCUGCAAUGGCACAUGGCCGGAGUUGCUACGGGUCGCAGCAGCUGCGUUGGAGCACCCCCGCACCGGUUUGGGCGCUGCAAUGGCGCAUGGCCGGAGUUGCUACGGGUCGCCGGAGCUGCGUUGGAGCACCACCGCGCCGGUUUUGGCGCUGCAAUGGCGCAUCACCGUGCCGCCGUUGCUGCUGAACACCCAGCUCCGCCGACCGCCGUUGAGGGGGGUGCGGCUCCUGCUUGCGAAGCCGUGCAGAGCUCUGCUUCCACAGCGACUCUUGUUGUUUCUUCACUACGAAUCCAACGGCUGCCAGGGAAAGAUCAAACGGCCGUACAGGCGGAUGAUUUCUCUAAGAAAUUAUCCGGCUGA
RNAcentral lists this ribosomal RNA (717 nucleotides) under Triticum aestivum (bread wheat). RNAcentral describes it as "partial small subunit ribosomal RNA". Lineage: Eukaryota; Viridiplantae; Streptophyta; Magnoliopsida; Poales; Poaceae. The record is from RNAcentral.